Gallus gallus (chicken) is the source of this 977-nucleotide long non-coding RNA. The record is from Ensembl. NCBI's taxonomy places the organism in Eukaryota, Metazoa, Chordata, Aves, Galliformes, Phasianidae.
CAGGACUCUGGUAUUACAUUACAGCUGCUGCCUGGUUAUACAUCCGUGUGAAUAGGAGGAAAUAAAUACACGUGAAGAAAUACCAGAAGGACCAAAAAAUGGGGCCCAACAUUGGCAAUUUCUUGUUUGGGUCUUGGGGUGGGUGAAGCAUUGGCACUUGGACCUGACCAACCAUGGAAGCAUCUCGUCUCAAUCUGAGAGGAGGGAAGAAAUGCAACCUCUGGAGCAUGCCCAGGCUCUGGGCCCUGGGAACUUGGCAGGCUGCUGGAGAGGUCAGAAAGAGCCUGGGGCAGAAAGCUUCACUCUGAGAUGGAAGUGAAUGUGGAUGAGGAAUUCUAGAUGAGGAGCAUUUGAUACUGAUUGAAGAUGCCAGAAUGACACCUCUCCUCCAGAGGAUGCUUUGCACAGCUGCAGGGUGAAUUUCUUCCCAUUCACAGCGGUCGGAGCGGACCCAGAGGAGAUGGAGGCGAGGUCAACCACUGUGCUUUGCCGCAUCCUUUCUGUCGGAGGAGACAUCUGCUAAAACCAGCUGUGGCAGCGGCUUGUGAGUGAUGGAAGGCUGGACUCAAGACUGCAAUUCAGCUCAUUAAAAGCACCCCGGGGGCUGCUAUGGUUAUUUGCCCCCUGUAGUGCUGGCAUUUUUCAGGCCAGGUCAGAACUCAUUGCUCCAGGCUCUGCGCUCUCUCCAGGCUCUCCCCAUCCUUUGUCCGAAGGCACGUCUUUAGUCUGUUCCUCGUUUUAUCCACCACCUCGAAGGCAGAGACCUGUGUCUGAGCAGACUCCCAUCCCCUGCCCUGAACAAAUGUGGUCAGCGUGAAACGAAGCCCAGAGCGGCAGCGCGUUCCCCUGUGAGCAGACGGAAAGUUUCAAAGGCACAAAGGGUAUUUAGGCACUGACUUCAAAGUCAGUAAGUUGGAUGCUGAAAAAAAAUCUCCCCCGUAGCCUUUAUGUCAUGCCACUUAAUAAGUAAUUAAAAG